This 226-nucleotide small RNA is filed under the name Rhodococcus sp. (in: high G+C Gram-positive bacteria). RNAcentral describes it as "Rhodococcus sp. c-di-AMP sequence". The stretch from base 73 to 226 matches the Rfam family "c-di-AMP riboswitch aptamer (ydaO/yuaA leader)". Rfam says of the family: This family represents a conserved RNA structure found upstream of the ydaO and yuaA genes in Bacillus subtilis and related genes in other bacteria. The ydaO/yuaA element is thought to act as a genetic "off" switch for the ydaO and yuaA genes in its native state. It is believed that the element may be triggered during osmotic shock leading to activation of ydaO, a predicted amino acid transporter gene, and members of the yuaA-yubG operon which code for KtrA and KtrB K+ transporters. Lineage: Bacteria; Bacillati; Actinomycetota; Actinomycetes; Mycobacteriales; Nocardiaceae. The record is from RNAcentral.
AAUCCUGCUCCGCGGAUUCCGGGUGUCCCGACGAACGAUCCACGGGAGCAGGAAGCGGGGGACCCAACGGUCUCCCAGGGAACACCGAUUCCCAGGAGGCACCCGGAUCGCCGCCCACGGCGACGGUCCUUGGGGUGAAGCCGAAUCGCCCACCGGCGAGGAGGCCGGGCUACCUCUUCAGCCCGAACCCGACAGCUGACCUCGUAGGCGCGUACGGAGAGGAACC